Molecule: ribosomal RNA, 406 nt
Filed under: uncultured bacterium
Lineage: Bacteria
Description: partial 16S ribosomal RNA
Rfam family: Bacterial small subunit ribosomal RNA
Source: RNAcentral
AUUGAACGCUGGCGGCAGGCCUAACACAUGCAAGUCGAACGAGUGGCGGACGGGUGAGUAAUGUCUGGGAAACUGCCCGAUGGAGGGGGCUAACUACUGGAACCGGUAGCAAAUACUGCUUACCAUCGGAUGUGCCCUGGGGGGAUUAGCUAGUAGGUGGGGUAACGGCUCACCUAGGCGACGAUCCAUAGCUGGUCUGAGAGGAUGACCAGCCACACUGGAACUGAGACACGGUCCAGACUCCUACGGGAGGCAGCAGUGGGGAAUCUUGCGCAAUGGGCGCAAGCCUGAUGCAGCCAUGCCGCGUGUAUGAAGAAGGCCUUCGGGUUGUAAAGUACUUUCAGCAGGGAGGCGUUACCCACAGAAGAAGCACCGGCUAACUCCGUGCCAGCAGCCGCGGUAAUAC